RNAcentral lists this long non-coding RNA (1227 nucleotides) under Sorghum bicolor (sorghum). Its description in RNAcentral is "long non-coding RNA (SBIC_LNC004113)". Lineage: Eukaryota; Viridiplantae; Streptophyta; Magnoliopsida; Poales; Poaceae. The record is from RNAcentral.
CCAGAAGGGCAUCACCUCGAUUGAAAGUAUUUGGACUCUAACUUGCUUUGCAUAGUGGAUUGAGAUUGAUUCCCACUGACAAUCGGCUUUUGGUCUCUUCAAUCGGUACCUCCGUGGAGUCAAUCACAAGGGAGAUACAUUACAUGUAGAUUGCAUCUCCUCUUGCCGAUUCUUGUGAAUCUAACUUUGAGGGAAGAGCUAAGGAAUUGAUUUAGCUUGUGCUGACCAAACAAACUCAACAAUAGAAGAAUCUUUACUUUGGUCAGGCCCCACCACCGCCACGAUGUCAUGCAGCCUCGAUCACCUUCUUGCACGGAAUCUGAUUUUCAAAUUCGUAUUGAUAUUUGUUCCUUGCCUCCUUCAAAAUUUCAAACCCUUUACGGUUUAGGGUUUAGCCUUAGGCAUUGUUGGUUUGGGCUGGGAGUGGUCGGGUUGGCCCAGCCCAACGUGGAAACAUUCGCGAUUCCAUUAUAUUCUCCUCUACUCCCGCCGACUCCUACGACUACGACGAGGAAUCCCGAGGGUACGGCCGCACCGCAGCAGCUGCAGCUCCGACCCGGACGCAACUAACGGCGAGUCGGCGCUCUCUCGCCUCCAGGUUCCUCUACCAUCGCAGCCGCCUCCUCGCCGGUAACGCACUGCACUGCACUCCUUUUCCUCCCCUGCUCUCAGUCCUAGCUAGGGUUCCUGGGUACGGUCCGCAUUCUUGAUUCCGCCAUAGGCCGCGCUGUUGGGUUCUUGGGUGCGAUCGAGGACCCGGCCCCGCUGUUGGCAAGCCGCAAGCGCUAGGACGUGUGAGUGAAUCUGCUGCGCGAGCACAUGAAUGAAUGAAGCGCCGCUCCGGAGCUUGCGGGUACCCUCUAGAACGACGCUCUUCUUAAUCAGUGGCAUGAGAAUCGCGGUUUGAGUGAAAACCCCCUAAGGCUUCGUUCGUUUAGUGGGGAUUGAGGGCUGGAAAUAAUCCAGUUGAUCAUUGGUACUAUAAGCCCUCUAGAACGAUGCUCUUCUUAUCGCGGUUUGGAAUGAAAACCCCUUAUUUUGUGGAACUUUUCUGAUCGAUUUCAGUGAAACCCAUUAAAAUCCAGACAGUUAUCUCACGUGUCCCAGUGGAACUUUGCGUUAGUAAGUCUGAAACAUGUAGUUCCGCAGAUAGUAAAUCUAUCUCGUGCCUCCCAGUAAGCAGAUAGCAAAACUUUGCUUUUCCGGCAAGAAUGUCAGGCCUUGUUU